Molecule: ribosomal RNA, 363 nt
Filed under: uncultured soil bacterium
Lineage: Bacteria
Description: bacterial SSU rRNA
Rfam family: Bacterial small subunit ribosomal RNA
Source: RNAcentral
AGAUUGAACGCUGGCGGCAGGCCUAACACAUGCAAGUCGAGCGGCAGCACGGGUACUUGUACCUGGUGGCGAGCGGCGGACGGGUGAGUAAUGCCUAGGAAUCUGCCUGGUAGUGGGGGAUAACGCUCGGAAACGGACGCUAAUACCGCAUACGUCCUACGGGAGAAAGCAGGGGACCUUCGGGCCUUGCGUCUAUCAGAUGAGCCUAGGUCGGAUUAGCUAGUUGGUGAGGUAAUGGCUCACCAAGGCGACGAUCCGUAACUGGUCUGAGAGGAUGAUCAGUCACACUGGAACUGAGACACGGUCCAGACUCCUACGGGACGGCAGCAGGUGGGGAAUAGUUAGGAACAAGUAGGGUCGAAA